ACAGGUUGAUCCUGCCUGUAGUGAUACGCUUGUCUAAAAGAUUAAGCCAUGCACGUCUAAGUUUAAGCAAUUAAACAGUGAAACUGCGAAUGGCUCAUUAUAUCAGUUAUAGCCUACUCGAUAGUACCUUACUACUUGGAUACCCGUAGUAAUUCUAGAGCUAAUACAUGCAUUAAAUACUCAUUCGAGUAGUAUUUAUUAGAUUGAAACCAAUGUAAAUGUUGAGUCAUAAUAACUGUGCGGAUCGUUCGUCGAGAGCGAUGAAUCGACUGGGUUUCUGCCCUAUCAGUUUUGGAUGGCUGUGUAUUGGACAGCCAUGACAUUGACGGGUAACGGAGGAUUAGGGUUCGACACCGGAGAGGGCGCCUGAGACACGGCGACCACAUCCAAGGAAGGCAGCAGGCGCGUAAAUUACCCAAUGCUAAUUCAGCGAGGUAGUGGCAAGAAAUAACGAUUUUCGGUCUUCAAGAUCGGAAAAUUGGAAUGAGAACAAUUUAAAUCCCUUAUCGAGGAUCAAUUGGAGGGCAAGUCUGGUGCCAGCAGCCGCGGUAAUUCCAGCUCCAAUAGCGUAUAUUAAAGUUGUUGCAGUUAAAAAGCUCGUAGUUGGAUUUAAGUUUGUUUGUGCGUUGUGAUCGUGAGAUGACGAUGCAUUGAGCAGACAUUAUUUGGGAUUUGGGGUUUCUUGGCAUACAGUUGUUGAGAUUCAACUGCCCAUCGUUUACUGUGAAAAAAUUAGAGUGUUUAAAGCAGGGGUUUUUCCUUUGGAUAUAUUAGCAUGGAAUAAUAAUAUAUGACUCGUAUGGUCUAUUUUGUUGGUUUGCACAUAUGAGUAAUGAUUAAUAGGGACAGUUGGGGGUAUUCAUAUUUGAGCGUCAGAGGUGAAAUUCUUGGAUCGCUGAAAGAUGAGCUAAGGCGAAAGCAUUUACCAAGGAUGUUUUCAUUAAUCAAGAACGAAAGUUAGGGGAUCGAAGAUGAUUAGAUACCAUCGUAGUCUUAACCGUAAACUAUGCCGACUCGGGAUGGUUAUGACGCUUUUUAGUCAUAGCUGCACCGUAAGAGAAAUCAAAGUCUUUGGGUUCCGGGGGAAGUAUGAUCGCAAGAUUGAAACUUAAAGGAAUUGACGGAAGGGCACUCCAAAUGUGGAACUUGCGGCUUAAUUUGACACAACACGGGGAAACUUACCAGGUCCAGACAUAAUAAGGAUUGACAGAUUGAGAGCUCUUUCUUGAUUUUAUGGGUGGUGGUGCAUGGCCGUUCUUAGUUGGUGGAGUGAUUUGUCUGGUUUAUUCCGUUAACGAACGAGACGUGUGUAUGUAGUUUAUUUGCUUGUCUUUUUGACGAGGCCAAGUACCC
This 1353-nucleotide ribosomal RNA is filed under the name metagenome. Its description in RNAcentral is "SSU rRNA". It matches the Rfam family "Eukaryotic small subunit ribosomal RNA", at positions 1 to 1411 of the family's 1831-position model. The record is from RNAcentral.